Molecule: ribosomal RNA, 441 nt
Filed under: uncultured bacterium
Lineage: Bacteria
Description: partial 16S ribosomal RNA
Rfam family: Bacterial small subunit ribosomal RNA
Source: RNAcentral
CCUACGGGUGGCAGCAGUGGGGAAUAUUGGACAAUGGGGGAAACCCUGAUGCAGCGACGCCGCGUGAGGGAAGACGUUUUUCGGUUCGUAAACUUCUGUUCUCAGUUAAGAAUAAUAACGGUAGCUAAGGAGCAACCCCCGCCUAAUAACGUGCCAGCAGCCGCGGUAAUCCGUAGGUGGCAAGCGUUGUCCGGAAUUACUGGGUGUAAAGGGAGCGCAGGCGGGAAGCCAAUUCAGCUGUGAAAUCUACGGGCUUAACGUGUAGACUGCAGUUGAAACUGGUUUUCUUGAGUGAAGGAGAGGUUAGCGGAAUUCCGAGUGUAGCGGUGAAAUGCGUAGAUAUUCGGAGGAACACCGGUGGCGAAGGCGGCCAACUGGGCUUUAACUGACGCUGAGGCUCGAAAGUGUGGGGAGCAAACAGGAUUAGAUACCCGUGUAGUC